UUAAGAUUAAUCUCAAUUUUAAAGUCAUUUGUAUUAAGGGAUUGCCCCCAUUUAUGAGUUUUUUACCAUACAAGUCCUUGGUUACGUUAGUACAUUCUAGUUGCAUGUAAUGGCAUGAGCUGCAUGUUGCCUUGUGCAAUGUAGACUGAUUGGUAAGGAAGCACAAGUACACCUUCAGUGACUUGUACAUCCCAGAUAUAAGGCGAGGAUCAUUGAAUUUUUCUCAAAGGUUAAUUUGUUUUAUGAAACCAGUAGGACAUUAUUUUACUUUUGUUGAAGUUGGCAUUUCUUUAUUUGUUCAUUAGCUUAAAUAUUUGGUAUUUUUUAUGUUUGUUAUCUUUCCAGAGUGGGAUUACCAAGCAGUAGGGAGUUAUUUGAUGCUAAAUUGGAGAAGAAAACUUACAGGAUUAUUACUCGAGUUUAUGAAUGAUUCCCAGAAAACAUUGCUACCAGUUGUCCAAAAGCCUGAUGGGAAGAAAAAUUUGAUGGUUUGUGAUCAGAUUCCUAUGAACAAUUUCUGCUGCUAAAUAGAUCUCUAGGUCUUUGUUUAUCUUUUAUAUCUCCUCUGACUACUCUAUGUUAUAUUUGAUAUUACUGAUUCUGAGGUACCAAAUUUAGUUUAUUAUUUAAUUUUUAAAGAAGAAUAGAGUGAUUUGCUUAAUAAAGCUCCAACAAGUCACAUAUGUAGUACCUGGUAUUGAAGACUUUGACCACAUUGAUAUCUCUGAAUUUGUUCAAAAAGCUCAGGGUCUCUUAGUAAGUUUCAGAAAAUUAGAACUUGGAGACAGUGACAGUGACAGCUGAGGAAUUAGCUGUGGUACCUAUUUUGCAGAAUCAACUUUCCAUGCUUGAACACUGCUCAUCUUUCAUUCUUCAGAUUAUAUAUGGCAGCAAGGAAUCUCUUGAAAGCUAUUGUUCCCUUCUCUUGUUGUCUAGAGAUGACAUAUUUUAAUGUGGUUGAUGGCAAGGGAUAUUCUUCUCUAUAUGAACCACGAGCAAGCAUCAAGGGUCAAUACGAGGAUUCUUUAGGAAAGAUUCGUUUGGUCAAUUUUCGUGGCUGCCCAACCACUUACUCAAUGGUGGCGACAGGCUACUUUUCAUGGACGAGGUGGUGGUGGGUUUUCUCUCGUUGCAUCGGUCUUCGAUGACGAUGGCAUGCUUUUGCUUGCUUCCAACCUAUUGUCAUCGUUCCGUCGUAAGUUCUUGAUCCUUGGUCCAAAGAUGGUUCGGUACAGGGAUUCUUUGGGAAAGAUUCUUUUGGUCUAUUUCAUGACCGCCCCUUCCUCGACGAUGGUGGAAACCUAGCCGUAGACACCAUCAUCAGCUUAGAUUCCUUGGUAGAGGCUAAAAACGAAGGUGGUGAUCAACAAGGAGGGUUUUCUGUAGUUGCAUCGAUGGUGAUCUCAUGCUUUUGCUUGUUUCCUAUCCUAUGGUGGCCAUUCUUUCGCAAAUUCUUGAUCCUUGGUGCAGAGAAGUGUCGGUUUAAAGAUUCUUUUGAAUAGAUUCUUUUGGUCACAGAUUUUCAUAGCAUGCUAUGCUGCUGCCUAGCUUGCAAUGAAGAUGGCAAUUGACGAGGUGGCUUUUUUCUCUCAUUAGGCCGGUGAUGCUUUGUCUUUCUUCCAGCCCUAUCAUUGUUGUUUGAUCACAGAUUCUUGAUCUAAUGGUCCAGAGGAGAAGAGUUAGUAGGUUGGUUCUUUGGGACAUAGAGUGUUCCUUUGCCACAUGAUUGAUUUCUGCCCAUUGGCGAGGAAACCUUCUGUCAAUGGCAUAAUUGUGUUGAUAAAGGAACCUGAGGUGUAGUAGAUUAUUUGGUCAUAGUGUGAUGCUAUGAUCGUGCUGUUUGUGCUUCUUAUGGAUGAAGAAGAGAUAAUUGGAUUGGUUGCCGAUAAGUGGCUGAGAAAGUUUAUUCAUUAGUGGUUGAUAAAUCCAGCUAAUCUGUUUGUAAUAUUAUGAUCAGCUUAGUGAGUGUGGGAAGUUCUAUAUGGCAAGCCAAGGCAGGCACCGACCACAGCCGGUAAUUGAAUAUGAUAUUUAUUCAGGCUACCUUUUAAUACUCUGUGAGUCUACAAAUGCUAGAGAUGUUGAAGAGAGGCUUUGCAUGGCAGUACAAAUGCUAUGACGGUCGUGGGGACUUUGCGACUGCUAGCUUCCAGCAGGAAGCAGUAGCUGAAGAGAUUCUUGAUGAAGAACAAAUCCUGAUCAAGGGUUGGGGGUUCUUUGUUUUCCUGAUAACAACAGCAAAAGUUCAGGAUUGCUUGAGAGGGCAAACCAUUUCAGUGAUGCAAAAAAUCAUCUUUUGUUUCUAGUUCUCCUCUGUUCAUUUUUAGACCCAGAUGAGGUUUUACCACUUAGAUAUGGCAGUUCUUGUUUUUCUGAGAAGUAAACUUCUUUCAUACAGUAAUAACUAGCAUUAAAAGAGAAUGAUUUCCUCACAAGAGGAUUAGUCAGUAGUCUUGAAGUGUAUCAAUGCAUAUGUGGAAAAUGGUUACCUAGAAACUGAGGUUGCUUUAACUCUAUCUUUUCCCUUCUUUGGAGAAGAUUUGUUGAACAAGUUUGAACUAUAUCUCGUUCUUUGAUCUGUAGCAUGUUUCAUAAAUUCGAGGAGGUUGUCCAUGAUUCUCUGCAUUGAAUGUGUCAUUGGUAAGAAAGUUUGAUCUCUUCUGAAUGGCCUUAAUUUACACAGAGGCAAUUUUUCCUUUUUGUGUUUUCUGGAAAACUCUUACUAUGUCAUCUAGAGACACCUGGAAAGAGAAUACAGUUUGAAGUUGGAGAUUUAUAAUGAACAAGUGGUCAAGGAAUCCUUGAUCACAUAUGAAGCGUCCUUGCACUUGGUUAAUCGUUUUGAAUGCUCUGCAAUAUAACCAUCAGAAGAAUUUAUUUCUUUAUCAUGAUUGGUAUCAAUAAUGUCAGCUAAUAUGCAGAUGACAACACCUUGAUACAUGAUACCUGUCAAAGAUUAAAGAGCUAAGACAAAGUCUAGUGUGUAAAAGGCCAUGGAUGGUCUCUCUUCCUUCAGGCAGACAAGUAUGAACAUGACAUGUCUUUCCUGAAGGAUAUAUUGAUUGAAAGCAGCAAGAUGGACAUGAUUCAGCCAAGUUAUGAAGCUGUGCUGGAGAUAUGUUCACAAGAUGGUCUUUUUCUCUGCUGAAAUUCCGUUCAUGCCAGGUACCUUAUCUUCGGUGAGGCUGCAAACUUCUCUCGAGGAAGGAGAAUAUUUGAUUCCAUAAGAAGUGAUUGAAAAACUUGUAUUAGAGACGCUGGUCCAAGCUGCUGAGCGGUGUUCACCUUCGCUUGUGGGAUCUCUUGUUGUCUGGUUAUGAGUAUUAGCCUUCAUGCUGUAGUUCUUAUAUGUCUAAUAUUGUUCUAUGACGGUCUGGGAGCUGACUCUACAAACGUUAAGAAGGUCGAGAGAGAAAUCAAGGAAUUGGCCAAGAAAGUUAAUGAUUUAUGUGGUAUGUUUGUCAAUAGAAGGUUUUGAUUUUUAAUGAUAGAUUUGCAGAGUUUCAUUCCUUUCACUUGUUUCCACAUUGGUUAAGAUGAAGAAACGAAGAUGGUGAAGGAUUUGACAAUCUUGAAACUAAACUUGAGGCUCAUCUUGGAUAAAGAAGCUUGAGACAUGGGGAAUAGAGUAAGAGAAGCCUUAUAAGAUGCAACUUCUACCCUUGGAAUGGGACUAUAUUUUGUGUAGUUCCAUAGUAGUUAGCAUUAUUAGUUUGAAUUUAAUUUUAGUUUUUAUUUCAUAUCGUGUCCGAAUACAUUAUUUCAUCAUGGGUGGAUAGUGGGAAGCGAACACGUAGCUUCUUCUUGUCAAAGAGAAAUUGUAACAUUCAACCUAUCCGCAUUUUUUUCAUGCGUGCAUGUAUGUCCACACAUGCGUGGCAUAUAUCAUGUAUACAUCUAGAUGAUGAAUG
This is a non-coding RNA of Musa acuminata subsp. malaccensis (wild Malaysian banana), 3911 nucleotides long. Lineage: Eukaryota; Viridiplantae; Streptophyta; Magnoliopsida; Zingiberales; Musaceae. The record is from RefSeq and is a predicted model, not a curated record.